Molecule: unclassified non-coding RNA, 336 nt
Filed under: Hevea brasiliensis (rubber tree)
Lineage: Eukaryota; Viridiplantae; Streptophyta; Magnoliopsida; Malpighiales; Euphorbiaceae
Source: RNAcentral
ACUAGCAACUAUUGAUGGAUCAGUAAUAUUAUGUUGGUUUUCGCCAUUGAUUAAGGCGUUGUCAGUUUGAACAUCUGAUAGACUGAUACCUUCAUUCAUUUAUCUUCCUUCUUUGAAGGGGAGGGCUUUGUCCUUUCCCUUCUUUUCUGCCCUUCGAUUAACUUGUGUAUGUAAUGAAAUUUUUGAGUGCUCAUUGGUAUAGUUCUCCUCUGGAUGCUCCAAGGAGCUUGUAUGGUAACAUAUUUUUGGUAGAAAUGAAGUUUGUGGAGUUUGGAUUUUCUGUAACUGGAAGUAUUUUCUGUUGAGUAAACUCCAACGAUUUCAUAACUAUUUUUU